GCUUCCCUGGUGGCGCAGUGGUUGAGAGUCUGCCUGCCGAUGCAGGGGACGUGGGUUCGUGCCCCAGUCCGGGAAGAUCCCACAUGCCGCGGAGCGGCUGGGCCUGUGAGCCAUGGCCGCUGAGCCUGCACAUCCGGAGCCUGUGCUCUGCAACGGGAGAGGCCACAACAGUGAGAGGCCCGCGUAUCGCAUAAAAAACCCCAAAAAACCAAGGGUGAGCAUGGAUGUGUAUAUUGCAGGUGGGGGAGUAGGUUCCAUUUGCAGUAACAUGGAUGGACCUAGAGAUUAUUUUUUUUCUGUAGAGACAGAUAUGCCAAUGAAACACCAGAAAGAAGAUAUCUGCUGUGUUCCAACAAAAUGCUAUUAAAAGUUUGAAUGCUAAUUACAAAAGUAAUACAUGUUUAUUAAAGAAAAAUUGGAAAAUACAUACAGUUUCAAAGAAGGGGAAAAGAUCUAUAAUUUCAUCACACAGCUAUUAAUAACCUUUAUGUCCCUUCAGACUUUCUUCAACAUAUAAUGCCCAGAAAAUGCAUAUAAUAUCAACUGGGCCAAUACCCUAAAUACAAUUUUGUGCUCUGAUUUUCAUAAUUUUUUUUGAAUUUUAUUGAUUUUUUUAUACAGCAGGUUCUUAUUAGUCAUCAGUUUUAUACACAUCAGUGUAUACAUGUGAAUCCCAAUCGCCCAAUUCAGCCCACCACCAACCCCACCCCCCCGCGGCUUUCCCCCCUUGGUGUCCAUAUGUUUGUUCGUCUCAGCUUCUGCCCUGCAAACUGGUUCAUCUGUACCAUUUUUCUAGGUUCCACCUACAUGUGUUAAUAUACGAUAUUUGUUUUUCUCUUUCUGACUUACUUCACUCUGUAUGACAGUCUCUAGAUCCAUCCACGUCUCAACAAAUGACUCAAUUUCGUUCCUUUUUAUGGCUGAGUAAUAUUCCACUGUAUAUAUGUACCACAUCUUCUUUAUCCAUUCGUCUGUCAAUGGGCAUUUAGGUUGCUUCCAUGACCUGGCUAUUGUAAAUACUGCUGCAAGGAACAUUGGGGUGUGUGUGUCUUUUUGAAUUAUGGUUUUCUCUGGGUAUAUGCCCAAUAGUGGGAUUGCUGGAUCAUAUGGUAAUUCUAUUUGUAGUUUUUUAAGGAACCUCCAUACUGUUCUCCAUAGUGACUGUAUCAAUUUACAUUCCCACCAACAGUGCAAGAGGGUUCCCUUUUCUCCACACCCUCUCCAGCAUUUGUUGUUUGUAGAUUUUCUGAUGAUGCCCAUUCUAACUGGUGUGAGGUGAUACCUCACUGUAGUUUUUUUUUUUUUUUUUUUUUUUUUUU
This is a long non-coding RNA of Orcinus orca (killer whale), 1319 nucleotides long. RefSeq lists it as uncharacterized. NCBI's taxonomy places the organism in Eukaryota, Metazoa, Chordata, Mammalia, Artiodactyla, Delphinidae. The record is from RefSeq and is a predicted model, not a curated record. The transcript has 2 exons.